AACGAACGCUGGCGGCGCGCUUAACACAUGCAAGUCGAACGAGAAGGCGUAGCAAUACGCUUGUACAGUGGCGAACGGGUGAGUAAUACGUGGGCGACCUACCCUCGAGUGGGGAAUAACCCGCCGAAAGGCGGGCUAAUGCCGCGUACGCUUCCAUCUUUAUGGAGGUGGAGGGAAAGCCGUGCCGUGGGCACGGCGCUCAAGGAUGGGCUCACGUCCUAUCAGCUUGUUGGUAGGGAACGCCUACCAAGGCUCCGACGGGUAGCUGGUCUGAGAGGACGAUCAGCCACACUGGCACUGCGACACGGGCCAGACUCCUACGGGAGGCAGCAGUGAGGAAUAUUGCGCAAUGGGCGAAAGCCUGACGCAGCGACGCCGCGUGGGGGA
Molecule: ribosomal RNA, 387 nt
Filed under: uncultured bacterium
Lineage: Bacteria
Description: bacterial SSU rRNA
Rfam family: Bacterial small subunit ribosomal RNA
Source: RNAcentral